GACGAACGCCGGCGGCGUGCUUAACACAUGCAAGUCGAGCGGUAAGGCCUUUCGGGGUACACGAGCGGCGAACGGGUGAGUAACACGUGGGUGAUCUGCCCUGCACUUCGGGAUAAGCCUGGGAAACUGGGUCUAAUACCGGAUAUGACCUCCUAUCGCAUGGUGGGUGGUGGAAAGAUUUAUCGGUGCAGGAUGGGCCCGCGGCCUAUCAGCUUGUUGGUGGGGUAAUGGCCUACCAAGGCGACGACGGGUAGCCGACCUGAGAGGGUGACCGGCCACACUGGGACUGAGACACGGCCCAGACUCCUACGGGAGGCAGCAGUGGGGAAUAUUGCACAAUGGGCGAAAGCCUGAUGCAGCGACGCCGCGUGAGGGAUGACGGCCUUCGGGUUGUAAACCUCUUUCAGCAGGGACGAAGCGCAAGUGACGGUACCUGCAGAAGAAGCACCGGCUAACUACGUG
Molecule: ribosomal RNA, 462 nt
Filed under: uncultured bacterium
Lineage: Bacteria
Description: partial 16S ribosomal RNA
Rfam family: Bacterial small subunit ribosomal RNA
Source: RNAcentral